RNAcentral lists this ribosomal RNA (425 nucleotides) under uncultured bacterium. RNAcentral describes it as "partial 16S ribosomal RNA". It matches the Rfam family "Bacterial small subunit ribosomal RNA", at positions 354 to 796 of the family's 1533-position model. The record is from RNAcentral.
GUGGGGAAUAUUGCACAAUGGGCGAAAGCCUGAUGCAGCGACGCCGCGUGAGCGAUGAAGUAUUUCGGUACGUAAAGCUCUAUCAGCAGGGAAGAUAAUGACGGUACCUGACUAAGAAGCACCGGCUAAAUACGUGCCAGCAGCCGCGGUAAUACGUAUGGUGCAAGCGUUAUCCGGAUUUACUGGGUGUAAAGGGAGCGUAGGCGGCGUGGUAAGUCAGAAGUGAAAGCCCGGGGCUCAACCCCGGGACUGCUUUUGAAACUAUCAUGCUGGAGUGUCGGAGAGGUAAGUGGAAUUCCUAGUGUAGCGGUGAAAUGCGUAGAUAUUAGGAGGAACACCAGUGGCGAAGGCGGCUUACUGGACGAUAACUGACGCUGAGGCUCGAAAGCGUGGGGAGCAAACAGGAUUAGAAACCCGAGUAGUCC